UUCAUUUUCUUUACAUGUAUGGCACGACACAUUUCUUUUUCCAGCUGUCACACAUGUAACACAUGCUACUUGGUUAGAAAACAUUUUCCACAUGCUAAAUAAAGCCUUCUAGAAGGCUAGCACAUGUUACAUAUGGCUGCCUACGUGGUAGCAGAUCUACAUUUCACGGAUCUAGUAUUUUCCUUGCCAAGGCCGAAGUGAAUUCUUAUAAAAACCCCAAGGCAACUUCUGUAUGAUACUUUUUGGAUGAUAAUAGAGAAAACUCUGCUGAAAUGCAUUGUCAUUUUCUCCUUCCCGAGAGUCACUCCAUGCUUUGCUUUCUCCUCUGCAACUUCCUUCCUUGUGUGAGGGCUUUCUGAGUUGUAGCCAUUCCGUACAAAGCUUGCAUCCGUUCCAAAUCACCUCUGCCAAACACCUUUCUCUGCUGCAACCAUACCAAACACCUCCAUCCAAAUCUGGUAUCGGCAUCUGUCACAGAUCUGCAUCUCGUUUGGAACUGUUCCAUUCAUUUCCAUCGGCUGUUUCACUUCUGCAAGUCUCUACUCUCACGGAUCUACAAGAAUGCAUCAAGCCUUGAUGUAUCAAGUGGUAUUCAAAGCAAGGUUCCAACCAAAACUGUGAGAUAAGUGUCAUUUUCUUCCAUUUCUAUACUGUCAGAAAAUUCCUGCAAUGUCUUGAAUCUGUUCAUGUGUUCUGGUUAUUUGAUUUUGGAAUUUAGGUUCUGUUUGAGUCUCUUUGAUACCAGUUGUGUCUUGCUUGAGUCAUUUACAUUUUUAAUCUGUUAAUCUUUUUUUUUUGAGUCUGUUAGUUUGAGCACCAUAUCAUGUAUGUCACGGUUAUGUGUAUUUGAUUUUUCUGUCAUCAAAUCUGGUUUGAAACCAAGUCUUUACCUAACUGAUAUUGGAGUAAAAAUGGACAUGUCUUGCACUGUCAAAGAGCAAUGACCAUUUCUAUGAGGAGCUUAGGUGCUUAAAUUGUGCCAUCCAUCUCAGAUCUGUUGAUUCGGUGUUCAUUUGUAAUUCUGUUUGAAUGAGGCAAAUUGUUGAAGUUGUGAUUGAUAUUUGGUCUAGUACAUUAUUUUGAAUGUGCCAAAAUGUUAAGCUGAUGUUUUUCCAAAAGAAUACCAAUUAAGCAUUACAUUGCUCUUGCAAUUGCUAUGGUGAUAUAAAUGGAAAUCUAAGUUCGCAUUGCUGGUUGCAGUACACCAAUCUGCAAAAAAAAAAAUUCUUAGUUUGGUUUUUUAUCUGCGUGUCAAAAUUGAUUGAGCAUUUAGAUCAUUGCCAAUCAUCCAAAUUACUUUCUACCAAUUGGAACAACUUUCUUUGACUGUAUUAAAUUCAGUUUAAUUGUGUUCAAGUUGAAUCAACUUUGAUUACAAAAUUUGGCUAGUCUAGUUGCUUAAAAAUGCUUGUAGUUGAACUACCAUAGUCCAAAUCUGAUACACUCUGAAUUUUGGAUGCAAUUGUGGUCAAACAAGUUUGAUUUGGUCAUUCAAACAUGCUUGAAACUGACUGACUUAACCAAUUGUUGUUCUGCGUAAAUUGCAUAUACUACUUGCCAAAUUUUGAGCCAAAACCGUAACAGUGCAGUGAACACAAUUUUUUUUGUUGUUUCAAUUUCUAAAUUGGAUUGGAUUGAUCGGUUGCAUUGAGGAUUUAGUAAAAGCCUUGGUUCCAAACAUAUAAAUUGAACAUUCAAAAGAGUUGAAAUCAUAGUAAGAGGCUGCAGGAACCAAUACAUCUGCAUUUCAAAGUUUAUUUGGUUCAGUUGGAUUAAACACUGGUGCAGUAGAAAUUGCCAGUUCUCUGUGACAUUUCUACAAACACUUUGAGCCAAAUUCUUUGCAUCACUAAUUUCGAAUGCAAUUUACAUUUCUGGUCUUUUAUUGCUUUUCUAAUAUACUCUAGAGCCAUUCUUAAGUUCAUUUUGUUGUUAUCCGAUUAAUUGAUUGAUUUUUAGUUAUUGAACAUCUUGCACACAACCUGUUUGAAGAAAGGUCUGUGCUGCUGUGGUUUUGGGUGCAGUUCUCUGGCAGUAUUAACGUGAUCUGCAAGUGCUAAUUUGUGUUGCUGAAUAGGUGUUCUAUAGCUCAGAUUAGUCACCACAUAAGGAAGCAUCAAAGGAGGUUCUUUGCUUGAGAAACAAAACUAUGAAGUGGCUUCACGGAAAAGGCAAAAACAUGAAAUGGCAGCAGUGUUGACAACCAUACAACAGCAGAAUUUUUUGUCUCAUACAACAACAGUUUUGACAGCAGAAGUUCAAUCACUUUGCAGCUGAGAGUUUAGUGUGAAUUGAAUCAAUUCACCCACUGUUUCUGAGAAGCUAGAGUUGCUUACAUCUUUUACCAUAAUCCUUUCUUCAUUUCCAUUCCAUUUCAUAUCAUUUUCUUUGUAAAAGUCAUUUGUUUUAUUGGUUUGUAAAGGGUCAUUUCAAGCAAGUGAAGUGGAAAAGCUCAUAAGUGUUCUUCCCUCAAUUGCUAACUUGACUUAAAGUCUCACCACUUUAAAAUUGGUAGACGGUGAGUGUGUCUUAGAUCCAAAGUCUAAGCCUCACCUAAGAGACCUCACCUUUACAUUUCAUUUCUUCAUUCCUUUUAAGCUUGUAAUUUUUUGUUUAGGAAACUUAGAGUUCGGCCUUAGAGUCUUAGUUGUUUUCAUGGCUUUUGAGUCUUCUUUUGUGAUCUUAGAAGUGAUCUUGGAGUAACAAUAACUAAGUAAGUAGCCUAGAACAUUUUUGGCAAGGAAAAGGCUUGGUACUUAAGCAACCCUAGUGGUUCACCUCCCUUACCUGGAAUUUGUUCUUGGGUGAAAUCUAAGGAAGUUGUAACACAAGAAAACUUUUACAAUCACAAAAUGUCAAAGCGACAAUCUCCAAGAGUUAGUGAUUCUGAGGAUCAAAUUACUCUCAAAGAUAUUUCAAAGCAACUCAGCGAACUAACUCAAUGGAGACUUGACAUUGAGAGAAAAAUGGAAUAUGCUCAACAAGAUAGGGAAAGAAAAAUCACCAUAAUUCAAGAUGAGUUGAGAGUCAUGAGAGAUGAGCAAGGAAGAGUGCGGGAAAGUAGAAGUGGAGAUUCCCACCAUGAGGUAGAGAACUUUAGAAUGAGAGAUUAUUAUGGGGAUUAUUCUUCUUCUAGAAGACAUAAGCGGGAAAUUCAAGAACCACCUCCCCCUAAAGAAGUCAAUAUCAACUUGCCCCACUUUCAUGGAAAAGAUGAUGUGUAGGCCUUUCUAGAUUGGGAAAUGAAGGUGGACCAACCUUUUGCUUGCCACCAAGUGAGUGAAGAGAGAAAGGUUCCUUUAGCUACCCUUAGCUUUCAAGGGUAUGCCAUGUAUUGGUGGACUGCCAUAGUGGAAGAAAGAAGGCACCACCAAAAUCCUCCAAUAAGAUAUUGGAAUGACUUGAUCACUGCCCUUAGGAGGAGACAUAUUCCCUCCUACUAUCAUAGAGAGCUUAUGCAUAAACUCCAAAGGCUACAACAAAAUUCUAUGUCUGUAGAACAAUAUAGACAAAAAAUGGAGUUGUAUAUGAUAAGGACAAGAAUUGAAGAAACAGAUAAACUCACAAUGGCUAGAUUUUUGAGUGGGCUCAAUUAUGAAAUUAGAGACAAGGUUGAACUUUUACCUUAAUAGAUUUGGAUAGUCUUGUCCAAAUGUGUAUCUAGGUAGAACAACAAAUUUUCAGAAAAUCCUCUCACAAGAGAGCUCAAGUUCAACCUUUUGAAAAAAGAAGUUUUAAAGAAAAAGAGCCAUUUAAACCUCUAGCCAAAAUUGUUGAGAAUCCCAAACAAGAGUCCUCUUCCCACCCUAGAACUAGUGAAAUCAAGUGUUUUAAUUGUCUAGGGAGAGGUCAUGUAGCUACUCAAUGUCCUACUAAGAGAAACAUCAUUCUAAAAGGAAAGGACAUUCAUAGUAGUGAAAGUGAAUCCCCUACUAGUGAGAGUGAGGGUGAGACUGAAAAAGAAGAGGAAUUGUUUGCGGAUGAUGGUCAACUUCUCAUGGUGAGAAGGGUGCUAAACAGUCAACCAAGUCUAGAAAAUCUAUCACAAAGAGAGAACAUCUUUCAUACAAGAUGUAAAGUUCAAGAAAAUCAUUGUUCUCUCAUUAUUGAUAGUGGUACUUGCUGCAAUUGUUGUAGCACAAGAUUGGUUGAGAAAUUGAAUCUUGUUGCAUACCCCAUCCUAAACCUUACAAACUUCAUUGGCUAAAUGAAGAUGGGGAUAUCACAAUCAAGACUCAAGUUAAGCUGGCAUUUUCCAUAGGGAACUUCAAAGAUGAAGUUAUUUGUGAUGUAGUUCCUAUGGAAGCUUGCCAUAUACUAUUGGGGAGACCAUGACAAUUUGAUCAUAAUACUAUACACCAUGGUCUAACCAAUACAAUCACAGUGCACAAAAAGGAUAAGAAAUAUGUGCUUCACCCUUUGACUCCUGCCCAGGUGGCUCAGGAUCAAGCACAAAUGAAGUCCACAAGGGACCAAGAAAAAGAACAAAAGAGGAAAAAAAGUUCAAAACAAAAGAAAGGAGCAGCCCUUAGAGAUGAGAAAGGGGUUUGGGAGUCUAGUGUUCCCUCCCACAAGGUUACUCAACAUGAAGUCCUUUUAAAUAAAAAAACUUUAUUCAAUACACUUCAAGUUGAGCAACCUUCAUACCUCCUUUGUCAAGGAACACUCACAUGCACAUCUAGUGAUUCUAAGACUUCUACUCCAUUUCUUUCAAUACAAAAACUUUUGAAGGAAUUUGGUGAUCUAUUUCCCAAAGAAAUUCCAAUUGGGCUUCCACCUUUAAGAGGGAUAGAACAUCAAAUUGACUUCAUUCCAGGGGAAACUCUUCCUAAUAGGCCUGCCUAUAGGACCAAUCCCCAAGAAACAAAAGAGAUUGAGUCACAAGUUCAAGAAUUACUAGAUAAGGGCUUGGUUCAAAAGAGCCUAAGCCCAUGUGAUGUACCUAUGUUGUUGGUGCCAAAAAAAAUGGAAAGUGGCGCAUGUGUUGUGAUUGUAGGGCUAUCAACAACAUCACAAUAAAAUACAGACAUCCCAUUCCUAGACUUGAUGAUAUGUUGGAUGAAUUACAUGGGGCUCAAAUUUUCUCAAAAAUAGAUCUUAAAAGUGGAUAUCAUCAAAUUCGAAUUAAAGAAGGAGAUGAAUGGAAAACUGCUCUUAAGACUAAGUUUGGUUUAUAUGAGUGGCUAAUAAUGCCUUUUGGUCUUACAAAUGCCCCAAGCACAUUCAUGAGACUUAUGAAUCAUAUUCUAAGGGAUUGCAUUGGGAAGUUUGUAGUUGUUUAUUUUGAUGACAUUUUGAUCUAUAGUUAAGACUUGCACAACCAUGAAAAACAGUUGAGAAUUGCUUUAACAAUUCUUAUAACCAACAAAUUGUUUGCAAAUCUUGACAAAUGCACUUUUUGUGUUGAUAGUGUCAUUUUUCUAGGUUUUGUAGUCAAUAAAAAUGGGGUUCAUGUUGACCCUGAGAAAAUAAAGGCUAUCCAAGAUUGGCCUCCCCCAAAGAAUGUAGGAGAAGUUAGGAAUUUUCAUGGAUUGGCAAGUUUUUAUAGAAGGUUUGUACCUAACUUCUCUAGUCUAGCUUCACCUCUCAAUGAGUUGGUGAAAAAGGAUUUUACAUUCAUUUGGGGAGAUAAACAACAAAAAGCUUUUGAGCUACUCUAAGAGAAGCUCACUAAAGCACCCAUUCUAGCUCUUCCCAACUUUUCAAAAACUUUUGAGCUAGAAUGUGAUGCUUCUAACAUAGAAUAGGUGCAGUAUUAUUACAAGAAGGACAUCCCAUUGCCUACUUUAGUGAAAAACUUCAUGGGGCUUCUUGUACCUAUCCCACCUAUGACAAGGAACUUUAUGCUCUUGUGAGGGCUCUUCAAACUUGGGAACAUUACCUUGUUUCCAAGGAGUUUGUCAUUCAUAGUGAUCAUGAAUCAUUAAAAUAUUUGAAGAGUCAACACAAGUUUCAAAAGAGGCAUGCUAAAUGGUUAGAAUUCAUUGAACAAUUCUCUUAUGUUAUCAAAUACAAGAAAGGAAAAUCCAAUGUUGUGGCGGAUGCUCUAUCAAGAAAAAUUAAUCUUUUAGCCACAUUGGGAGCUCAAAUUCUUGGGUUUGAUAACAUAACUGAGUUGUAUUCACAAGACCCUGAAUUUUCUCAUAUGUAUGAAGAAUGUCUCAACAAGGCCCAGGGAGGUUUUUAUGUGAGAGAGGGAUAUCUUUUUAAAGAAGGAAAAAUUUGUAUUCCUCAAUGAUCACAUAGAAAGCUCCUUAUCAAGGAAACACAUGAGGGAGGACUGAUGGGACAUUUUGGGGUCGAAAAAACCCUUGGCCUGUUAAAAGAGAAAUUCUUUUGGCCUCACAUGAGAAGGGAUGUUCAAAGGCAUUGUUUUAAGUGUAUCACUUGUUUGGAAUCAAAGUCUAAAUCAAUGCCUCAUGGACUUUACACACCUUUGCAUGUUGCUUCAACCCCUUGGGAAGAAAUUAGUAUGGAUUUUGUGUUAGGACUUCCUAAGACUGUUAGGGGUUUUGAUUCUAUAUUUGUGGUAGUGGAUAGAUUUAGCAAAAUGGCUCAUUUCAUACCUUGUCACAAAAUAGAUGAUGCAAGCAACAUUGCAAAGUUAUUUUUUAGAGAUGUGGUCAAACUUCAUGGCCUACCUAAAGUAAUAAUUUCGGAUAGAGAUACUAAAUUUCUUAGUCACUUUUGGAGAACCUUAUGGUCCCGAUUAGGGACUAAGUUAUCUUUUUCUACUACUUGCCAUCCACAAACAGAUGGUCAAACUGAAGUAGUCAAUAGAUCUCUCUCCAUAUUACUAAGGGUAGUUCUAAAGGGNAAUCACAAAUCUUGGGAUGAGUACCUUCCUCAUGUAGAGUUUGCCUAUAAUAGAGUAGUUCAUGGAACUACUAAAAUUUCUCCUUUUGAAGUUGUCUAUGGAUUCAACCCUUUGACACCUAUGGAUUUAAUACCUCUUCCAACUUCUUUUGACUUUGUUCAUCAAGAAGGGGUAUCUAAAUCUAAGUUUAUCAAAGAAUUUCAUCAAAGGGUUCGAGUUCAAAUUCAACAACAAAAUGAUAAAUAUGCCAAGAAACACAAUAAAGGCAAAAAGGAGUUGAUCUUCAAUGAAGGUGAUCUAGUUUGGGUUCAUCUUAGAAAGGAAAGGUUUCCUCAACUAAGAAAAUCCAAACUUAAUCCUCAAGGAGAUGGACCCUUUAGAGUUGUGAGUAGGAUAAGUAACAAUGCUUAUUAAAUAGAUCUUCCGCCAGCAUAUGGAGUCCAUUCUACCUUUAAUGUAUCUGACCUUGGACCUUUUGCAGGUUAUGAUUCUGAAGAAGAGGACGUUUCUCUGGAUUUGAGGACAAAUCCUUCUCAAGAGGGAGAAGAUGAUACACGGGGUCCUAGCAGCUUGCAUCCAAGUCCUAUAACAAGACAGAUGGCCAGGAAAUUACAACAAGAACUUCAAGAGCCAACACCAGAAGGUCAGAUAUUCUUUACAUGUUUUGAAUGGAAGCCAGGAGAGCAAGAUCAAGAGCCAAGAUGGUCCAAGGAAGGAAANGGUUAACACACUUCAUUAUCCUUACAUGUAUGGCACGACACAUUUCUUUUUCCAGUUGUCACACAUGUAACACAAGCUACUUGGUUAGAAAACAUUUUCCACAUGCUAAAUAAAACCUACAUUUUCCACAUGCUAAAUAAAACCUUCUAGAAGGCUAGCACAUGUUGCAUAUGGCUGCCUAUGUGGCAGCAGAUCCACAUUUCACGGAUCUAGUAUUUUCCUUCCCAAGGCCGAAGGGAAUUCUUAUAAAAACCCCAAGGCAACUUCUGUAUGAUACUUUU
Molecule: long non-coding RNA, 7818 nt
Filed under: Vigna radiata
Lineage: Eukaryota; Viridiplantae; Streptophyta; Magnoliopsida; Fabales; Fabaceae
Description: long non-coding RNA (VRAD_LNC016024)
Source: RNAcentral